Molecule: long non-coding RNA, 546 nt
Organism: Juglans microcarpa x Juglans regia
Lineage: Eukaryota; Viridiplantae; Streptophyta; Magnoliopsida; Fagales; Juglandaceae
Exons: 2
Source: RefSeq, a predicted model, not a curated record
CAUAAACUCAGACGGGCACAUUCUAUCACCACUACGGCUCCAAGGACACGAUGCUUUCAACUAUUAAACAUGGAUGAUCUGAAAACACGAGUAGUGAUCGUGAAAUUUGGGGCGAUGGCAUGGAGAAGGUAUUCAUUGACAUGCUUUACCAAGAUGCCAUUCAUGGUAGAUUAAUAACUGGCAAUAUCAUGUGUAGAGAGCAUACCACUUAUGCUGAGCGGCUCACCGCUGUUGGUGUGAGGGUGUUGGACGCAAGCCAAAUUCGGGGCAAAAUCCAGAGCUUGAAGGCCCAACAACAUCUGUUUACCGAUCUAAUGAGCCAAAUUGGGAUGGGUUGGAUCCUAAAAGGAAGACGGUAGUGGGGAGUGAUGAGGCCUGGGAAAAUGCCAACAGGGUAAGGCAAUUAACUUGUGCCCUUAUUAUCUAAUUUUUCAUGUGUCCAACUUUAUUAUUGACAUGUGUGUAUUAUGAAAAUUUCAGAUAAAAAAUAAAUGAGGGAGGGAGGUUUCAGACAUUUGGCCUACCAAAGUUCGAGGAGUCGUGAAC